RNAcentral lists this ribosomal RNA (459 nucleotides) under uncultured bacterium. RNAcentral's name for it is "bacterial SSU rRNA". It matches the Rfam family "Bacterial small subunit ribosomal RNA", at positions 338 to 795 of the family's 1533-position model. The record is from RNAcentral.
CCUANGGGGGGCAGCAGUGGGGAAUUUUGGACAAUGGGGGCAACCCUGAUCCAGCCAUGUCGCGUGAGUGAAGAAGGCCUUCGGGUUGUAAACUGCUUUUGUACGGGAAGAAUCUUCCGCACGUGUGCGGAAUUGACGGUACCGUGCGAAUAAGCACCGGCUAACUCCGUGCCAGCAGCCGCGGUAAUACGGAGGGUGCAAGCGUUAUCCGGAUUCAUUGGGUUUAAAGGGUGCGCAGGCGGAAUGAUAAGUCAGUGGUGAAAUCCUACAGCUCAACUGUAGAACUGCCAUUGAUACUGUCGUUCUUGAGUAUAGUUGAAGUGGGUGGAAUGUAUCAUGUAGCGGUGAAAUGCAUAGAUAUGAUACAGAACUCCGAUAGCGAAGGCAACUCACUAAACUAAAACUGACGCUCAUGCACGAAAGCGUGGGGAGCAAACAGGAUUAGAUACCCUUNUANUC